Molecule: ribosomal RNA, 431 nt
Filed under: uncultured bacterium
Lineage: Bacteria
Description: bacterial SSU rRNA
Rfam family: Bacterial small subunit ribosomal RNA
Source: RNAcentral
GUGGGAAAUCUGCCGAGUAGCGGGGGACAACGUUUGGAAACGAACGCUAAUACCGCAUAACGAUGAGAAUCGCAUGAUUCUGAUUUAAAAGAAGCAACUGCUUCACUACUUGAUGAUCCCGCGUUGUAUUAGCUAGUUGGUAGUGUAAAGGACUACCAAGGCGAUGAUACAUAGCCGGCCUGAGAGGGUGAACGGCCACACUGGGACUGAGACACGGCCCGGACUCCUACGGGANGCAGCAGUAGGGAAUCUUCGGCAAUGGGGGCAACCCUGACCGAGCAACGCCGCGUGAGUGAAGAAGGUUUUCGGAUCGUAAAACUCUGUUGUUAGAGAAGAACGUUAAGUAGAGUGGAAAGUUACUUAAGUGACGGUAUCUAACCAGAAAGGGACGGCUAACUACGUGCCAGCAGCCGCGGUAAUACGUAGGUCCC